AAGCUGCGGCAGCGACACUGUGUGUUGUUGGGUAGGGGAGCGUUCUGUAAGCCUGUGAAGGUGUGUCGUGAGGCAUGCUGGAGGUAUCAGAAGUGCGAAUGCUGACAUAAGUAACGAUAAAGCGGGUGAAAAGCCCGCUCGCCGGAAGACCAAGGGUUCCUGUCCAACGUUAAUCGGGGCAGGGUGAGUCGACCCCUAAGGCGAGGCCGAAAGGCGUAGUCGAUGGGAAACGGGUUAAUAUUCCCGUACUUGGUGUUACUGCGAAGGGGGGACGGAGAAGGCUAUGUUGGCCGGGCGACGGUUGUCCCGGUUUAAGCGUGUAGGCUGGUUUUCCAGGCAAAUCCGGAAAAUCAAGGCUGAGGCGUGACGACGAGGCACUACGGUGCUGAAGCAACAAAUGCCCUGCUUCCAGGAAAAGCCUCUAAGCAUCAGGUAACAUCAAAUCGUACCCCAAACCGACACAGGUGGUCAGGUAGAGAAUACCAAGGCGCUUGAGAGAACUCGGGUGAAGGAACUAGGCAAAAUGGUGCCGUAACUUCGGGAGAAGGCACGCUGACACGUAGGUGAAGUGAUUUACUCAUGGAGCUGAAGUCAGUCGAAGAUACCAGCUGGCUGCAACUGUUUAUUAAAAACACAGCACUGUGCAAACACGAAAGUGGACGUAUACGGUGUGACGCCUGCCCGGUGCCGGAAGGUUAAUUGAUGGGGUCAGCGCAAGCGAAGCUCCUGAUCGAAGCCCCGGUAAACGGCGGCCGUAACUAUAACGGUCCUAAGGUAGCGAAAUUCCUUGUCGGGUAAGUUCCGACCUGCACGAAUGGCGUAAUGAUGGCCAGGCUGUCUCCACCCGAGACUCAGUGAAAUUGAACUCGCUGUGAAGAUGCAGUGUACCCGCGGCAAGACGGAAAGACCCCGUGAACCUUUACUAUAGCUUGACACUGAACAUUGAGCCUUGAUGUGUAGGAUAGGUGGGAGGCUUUGAAGCGUGGACGCCAGUCUGCGUGGAGCCGACCUUGAAAUACCACCCUUUAAUGUUUGAUGUUCUAACGUGGACCCGUAAUCCGGGUUGCGGACAGUGUCUGGUGGGUAGUUUGACUGGGGCGGUCUCCUCCUAAAGAGUAACGGAGGAGCACGAAGGUUGGCUAAUCCUGGUCGGACAUCAGGAGGUUAGUGCAAUGGCAUAAGCCAGCUUGACUGCGAGCGUGACGGCGCGAGCAGGUGCGAAAGCAGGUCAUAGUGAUCCGGUGGUUCUGAAUGGAAGGGCCAUCGCUCAACGGAUAAAAGGUACUCCGGGGAUAACAGGCUGAUACCGCCCAAGAGUUCAUAUCGACGGCGGUGUUUGGCACCUCGAUGUCGGCUCAUCACAUCCUGGGGCUGAAGUAGGUCCCAAGGGUAUGGCUGUUCGCCAUUUAAAGUGGUACGCGAGCUGGGUUUAGAACGUCGUGAGACAGUUCGGUCCCUAUCUGCCGUGGGCGCUGGAGAACUGAGGGGGGCUGCUCCUAGUACGAGAGGACCGGAGUGGACGCAUCACUGGUGUUCGGGUUGUCAUGCCAAUGGCACUGCCCGGUAGCUAAAUGCGGAAGAGAUAAGUGCUGAAAGCAUCUAAGCACGAAACUUGCCCCGAGAUGAGUUCUCCCUGAGACUU
RNAcentral lists this ribosomal RNA (1642 nucleotides) under Salmonella enterica subsp. enterica serovar Bareilly str. CFSAN000199. RNAcentral describes it as "bacterial LSU rRNA". It matches the Rfam family "Bacterial large subunit ribosomal RNA", at positions 1197 to 2823 of the family's 2925-position model. The record is from RNAcentral. Lineage: Bacteria; Pseudomonadati; Pseudomonadota; Gammaproteobacteria; Enterobacterales; Enterobacteriaceae.